GAAAAUUCCAAGAUUCCAUAACUUUGAAAAUUAGUUUUGUUUCAUUCAAAUGAUGGAUAAGUGAAAGUGAAGGGGAAGAUUAUAGAAUUCUUCUGGCCAAACUUGAAAAUGACAUCUACUUUAGACUAUUGAAACACAAGACCAUAUAUAUGGAGAUUUUCAAUCCAGCAAGGCUCCUAGAUAUUUGCUUUUCACGAGCCAAUCAUCAUACAUUGCUAAAAUUUCCAUCUCUAUCCUUUUUUUUUAAAGAAAAAAAAGAAAAGCAAUUAUUAUUGGUGUUAAACAGCCAAAGAGAGUUUCCAUAAAAGCAUUAUUUCAAAGAAAGCAUAUGAGAUAAAGGAGUACUCACUUGUUACAGUGAGAUGAGUUAAAAGCAACCCCACUUUGGCAGAUUCCU
RNAcentral lists this unclassified non-coding RNA (397 nucleotides) under Hevea brasiliensis (rubber tree). The record is from RNAcentral. Lineage: Eukaryota; Viridiplantae; Streptophyta; Magnoliopsida; Malpighiales; Euphorbiaceae.